This 398-nucleotide unclassified non-coding RNA is filed under the name uncultured fungus. Its description in RNAcentral is "partial contains small subunit ribosomal RNA, internal transcribed spacer 1, and 5.8S ribosomal RNA". The stretch from base 1 to 73 matches the Rfam family "Eukaryotic small subunit ribosomal RNA", at positions 1759 to 1831 of the family's 1831-position model. Lineage: Eukaryota; Fungi. The record is from RNAcentral.
GCAAACUUGGUCAUUUAGAGGAAGUAAAAGUCGUAACAAGGUUUCCGUAGGUGAACCUGCGGAAGGAUCAUUAUUGAAUAACUUGCCUUGAUGGGUUGUAGCUGGCCUCUUGAGGCAUGUGCACGCCUGUCUUGACUCUAUUCAUCCACCUGUGCACCUUUUGUAGUUCAUCACUCUCUGUGGUAUAAAGCUUGUAUUCAGUUGAAAUACACUGGAUUUGAGGAUUGCCUUUAUGGCUUUUCUCUUGCCGGGCCUACCCUCAGGAUGAGGACUAUGUACUUUAUCAUAAACCAUGUAGUAUGUUGCCAGAAUGUAUUCAAUGGGCCUUCGUGCCUAUAAAACCUUAUACAACUUUCAGCAACGGAUCUCUUGGCUCUCGCAUCGAUGAAGAACGCAGC